UACGUAGGGUCCGAGCGUUGUCCGGAAUUACUGGGCGUAAAGAGCUCGUAGGUGGUUUGUCGCGUUGUUCGUGAAAACUCACAGCUCAACUGUGGGCGUGCGGGCGAUACGGGCAGACUUGAGUACUGCAGGGGAGACUGGAAUUCCUGGUGUAGCGGUGGAAUGCGCAGAUAUCAGGAGGAACACCGGUGGCGAAGGCGGGUCUCUGGGACGGUACUGACGCUGAGACGCGAAAGCGUGGGGAGCGAACAGG
RNAcentral lists this ribosomal RNA (253 nucleotides) under uncultured bacterium. Its description in RNAcentral is "partial 16S ribosomal RNA". It matches the Rfam family "Bacterial small subunit ribosomal RNA", at positions 524 to 776 of the family's 1533-position model. The record is from RNAcentral.